UUAGUUAAACUUGAAACAUGGUUUUUGAAUUGUGCAUAGUUAAUACAUGGUUUAUGAAUUUUUCCCUUACUCCAACAUGGAAAAAGAUACCCAUUAAUCCUUCAAAUUGCAGUACCCUCGUCACCUUCGCCACACUCCUAUUUUGUAUGGUUUUCUUCAUCUCCUUCAAAUCCCUAUUUUCCCCUUCAAUCCUUCAAAUCUCCACAAAUUUCCGAUCACAUCCCUCUCCACAAUGCACUGCCACCAACUUUAGCGGGUCAUCGGAAAAGUUCUUCUGGUACGCACUGCACAGUGGAUUCCGCAACUAGCUAUAUGAAUUCAAGAACGUGAUUCUACUGGCUUCGAUUUUGAAUUGAACAUUAAUCAUUCCUACUAUACUAGAUGGAACCGGUUUUGGGCCGAGCUAGGUGAAGCCCAUGCCUUAGGCCCACAAAUUUAAGGGCCUAAUUUUAUUUUUUUAAGACCUUAAAUUCCUAAUUCUUUCGUCUUCCGGAGGCAACUAGCGAGAGCCGAAGAACAACAAUCCGUCUUCUCUCUUCUCUCUCAAGUCUCAGCCGUCUGUCGCGCCAAGCCACUCCAUUGCCUGCCGGUAUAAAUAUUAAAAUCAGAUUUCUAUGUACUCCUUCUCUUUUUUUGCAUUGAAGAAUUUCUAAGAUAGUGGAUUGAAUAGGGCUGUUUUAUUGAAAUUUUCCUUUUUUAUUGGUGGUAAUUAAGAUGGAGUUUCAACUUUGG
Molecule: long non-coding RNA, 732 nt
Filed under: Olea europaea subsp. europaea
Lineage: Eukaryota; Viridiplantae; Streptophyta; Magnoliopsida; Lamiales; Oleaceae
Source: RNAcentral